RNAcentral lists this ribosomal RNA (90 nucleotides) under Acanthosepion pharaonis. Lineage: Eukaryota; Metazoa; Mollusca; Cephalopoda; Sepiida; Sepiidae. The record is from RNAcentral.
CGAGUUCCCGUACGAUCACCGAAGUUAAGCAACAUCGUGCCUGAUCAGUACCUAGAUGGGUAACCGCUUGGGAAUUCCAGGUGCUGUAAG